UACGUAGGGUGCGAGCGUUAAUCGGAAUUAUUGGGCGUAAAGCGUGCGCAGGCGGCUUUGCAAGACAGAUGUGAAAUCCCCGGGCUCAACCUGGGAACUGCAUUUGUGACUGCAAGGCUAGAGUACGGCAGAGGGGGAUGGAAUUCCGCGUGUAGCAGUGAAAUGCGUAGAUAUACGGAGGAAGACCAAUGGCGAAGGCAC
This 201-nucleotide ribosomal RNA is filed under the name uncultured bacterium. RNAcentral's name for it is "partial 16S ribosomal RNA". It matches the Rfam family "Bacterial small subunit ribosomal RNA", at positions 524 to 724 of the family's 1533-position model. The record is from RNAcentral.